This 448-nucleotide ribosomal RNA is filed under the name uncultured bacterium. Its description in RNAcentral is "bacterial SSU rRNA". It matches the Rfam family "Bacterial small subunit ribosomal RNA", at positions 355 to 796 of the family's 1533-position model. The record is from RNAcentral.
UGGGGAAUCUUGCGCAAUGGGCGAAAGCCUGACGCAGCAACGCCGCGUGCGGGAAGAAGGUCUUAGGGUUGUAAACCGCUUUCAGCAGGGACGAAGGCGUCCGGGUUAAUAGCCCGUACGUUGACGGUACCUGCAGAAGAAGGUCCGGCUAACUACGUGCCAGCAGCCGCGGUAAUACGUAGGGACCAAGCGUUGUCCGGAAUCAUUGGGCGUAAAGAGCGUGUAGGCGGCUUGUUAAGUCUUGCGUGAAAUCUCGGGGCUCAACCCCGAGCGGUCGUGAGAAACUGGCAGGCUAGAGUGCGGGAGAGGAGAGUGGAAUUCCUGGUGUAGCGGUGAAAUGCGCAGAUAUCAGGAAGAACACCCGUGGCGAAGGCGGCUCUCUGGAACGCAACUGACGCUGAGACGCGAAAGCGUGGGGAGCAAACAGGAUUAGAUACCCCCGUAGUCC